Molecule: ribosomal RNA, 253 nt
Filed under: uncultured prokaryote
Description: partial 16S ribosomal RNA
Rfam family: Bacterial small subunit ribosomal RNA
Source: RNAcentral
UACAGAGGUCCCAAGCGUUGUUCGGAUUCACUGGGCGUAAAGGGUGCGUAGGUGGUUAGGUAAGUCUGAUGUGAAAUCUCUGGGCUCAACCCAGAAACUGCAUUGGAUACUGUCUAGCUAGAGGAGUGGAGGGGGGACUGGAAUACUUGGUGUAGCAGUGAAAUGCGUAGAUAUCAAGUGGAACACCAGUGGCGAAGGCGGUUCUCUGGGAAUGUCCUGACGCUGAGGAGCGAAAGUGUGGGGAGCGAACAGG